This 497-nucleotide ribosomal RNA is filed under the name uncultured bacterium. RNAcentral describes it as "partial 16S ribosomal RNA". It matches the Rfam family "Bacterial small subunit ribosomal RNA", at positions 28 to 507 of the family's 1533-position model. The record is from RNAcentral.
GAUGAACGCUGGCGGCGUGCCUAAUACAUGCAAGUCGAGCGAACGGACGAUAAGCUUGCUUCUCUGAUGUUAGCGGCGGACGGGUGAGUAACACGUGGAUAACCUACCUAUAUUUCUGGGAUAAUUUCGGGAAACCGGAUCUAAUACUGGAUGAUAUUUUGAACCGCAUUGGUCAAAAGUGAAUGACGGCCUUGCUGUCUCUUUUAGAUGGAUCCGCGGUGGAUUAGCUAGUUGGUAAGGUAACGGCUUACCAAGGCAACGAUGCAUAGCCGACCUGAGAGGAUGAUAGGCCACAUGGGAACUGAGACACGGUCCAGACGCCUACGGGAGGCAGCAGUAGGGAAUCUUGCGCAAUGGGCGCAAGCCUGACGCAGCGACGCCGAGUGAGUGAUGAAGGCCUUCGGGUCGUAAAGCUCUGUUAUUAGGAAAGAACAGAUGUGGAAGAAGACGUGGACGUAGUGACGGUACCUAAUAAAAAAGCCACGGCUAACUACGUG